GACCCCCAGGUUAUGGGGCGGGGGGUGGCACCUACCCCAUAACCCCAGCUUGGGGGGGGUGGGGGGGGUGGGUGGCACCAGGGUCCCCCAGAAGGACAUCCGUGGGGUGACAUGUCCCCCAUAACCCCAGCUAUGGGGUGGGAUGUCCCCCCCCAGGACACCAGCUAUGGGGUGGCACGUCCCCCGUGUCCCCCAGAAGCUCAUCCAUGGGGUGGCAUGUCCCCAGGGUCCCUGGCCAUGGGGUGGCACGGCCCCAAAAGCCCAUCCAUGGGGUGGGAUGUCCCCCCAGGACACCAGAACCCCAGCUAUGGGGUGGCAUGUCCCUCAGGGCACCAGCCGUGGGGUGGCACGUCCCCCCUCUCCCCCAGAAGCCCACGUAUGGGGUGGCAUGUCCCCCAAGACACCAGCCGUGGGGUGGCGUGUCACCAGUGUCCCCCAGAAGGCCAUCCAUGGGGUGACAUGUCCCCCAAGACACCAGCCAUGGGGUGGCACAUCCCUCAGGUCAUCAGCUAUGGGGUGGCAUGUCCCCCAGAAGGCCAUCCAUGGGGUGGGAUGUCCCCCAAGACACCAGCCGUGGGGUGGCACGUCCCCCAUGUCCCCCAGAAUCCAUCCAUGGGGUGGCAUGUCCCCCCAGGACACCAGAACCCCAGCUAUGGGGUGGCAUGUCCCUCAAGACACCAGCCGUGGGGUGGCACGUCCCCCCUCUCCCCCAGAAGCCCACGUAUGGGGUGGCAUGUCCCCCAAGACACCAGCCGUGGGGUGGCGUGUCACCAGUGUCCCCCAGAAGGCCAUCCAUGGGGUGACAUGUCCCCCAAGACACCAGCCAUGGGGUGGCACGUCCCCCAUGUCCCCCAGAAUCCAUCCAUGGGGUGGCAUGUCCCCAGUGUCCCCCAGAACCCCGUCCAUGGGGUGGGAUGUCCCUCAGGGCACCAGCCGUGGGGUGGGAUGUCCCCCAGAACCCCAUCCAUGGGGUGGCAUGUCCCCAGUGUCCCUGGCCAUGGGGUGGCACGUCCCCCAGAAGGCCAUCCAUGGGGUAGCACGUCCCCCCUGUCCCCCAGAACCCCAUCUAUGGGGUGACAUGUCCCCCAGGACACCAGCCAUGGGGUGGCACGUCCCUCGGGUCAUCAGCUAUGGGGUGGCAUGUCCCCCAGAAGGCCAUCUAUGGGGUGACAUGUCCCUCAGGGCACCAGCCGUGGGGUGGCAUGUCCCCCCUGUCCCCCAGAAGGCCAGCUAUGGGGUGGCACGUCCCCCAAGACACCAGCCGUGGGGAGGGAUGUCCCCCCUGUCCCCCAGAAUCCAUCCAUGGGGUGGCAUGUCCCCAGGGUCCCUGGCCAUGGGGUGGCACGUCCCCCCAGGACACUCAGCCGUGGGGUGGCAUGUCCCCCAUGUCCCCCAGGACAUCAGCUAUGGGGUGGGAUGUCCCCAGGGUCCCUGGCCAUGGGGUGGCACGUCCCUCAGAAGGCCAUCCAUGGGGUGACAUGUCCCUCAGGUCACCAGCUGUGGGGUGGCACGUCCCCCAGAAGCCCACAUAUGGGGUGGCACGUCCCCCAAGACACCAGCCAUGGGGUGGCGUGUCCCCCCCGUCCCCCAGAAGCUCAUCCAUGGGGUGGGAUGUCCCUCAGGACACCAGCCGUGGGGUGACACGUCCCCAUGAUGCCCCAUGGG
Molecule: long non-coding RNA, 1665 nt
Organism: Calidris pygmaea (Spoon-billed sandpiper)
Lineage: Eukaryota; Metazoa; Chordata; Aves; Charadriiformes; Scolopacidae
Source: Ensembl